This 340-nucleotide ribosomal RNA is filed under the name Lacticaseibacillus rhamnosus. RNAcentral's name for it is "bacterial SSU rRNA". It matches the Rfam family "Bacterial small subunit ribosomal RNA", at positions 1056 to 1397 of the family's 1533-position model. Lineage: Bacteria; Bacillati; Bacillota; Bacilli; Lactobacillales; Lactobacillaceae. The record is from RNAcentral.
CAGCUCGUGUCGUGAGAUGUUGGGUUAAGUCCCGCAACGAGCGCAACCCUUAUGACUAGUUGCCAGCAUUUAGUUGGGCACUCUAGUAAGACUGCCGGUGACAAACCGGAGGAAGGUGGGGAUGACGUCAAAUCAUCAUGCCCCUUAUGACCUGGGCUACACACGUGCUACAAUGGAUGGUACAACGAGUUGCGAGACCGCGAGGUCAAGCUAAUCUCUUAAAGCCAUUCUCAGUUCGGACUGUAGGCUGCAACUCGCCUACACGAAGUCGGAAUCGCUAGUAAUCGCGGAUCAGCACGCCGCGGUGAAUACGUUCCCGGGCCUUGUACACACCGCCCGU